Long non-coding RNA from Homo sapiens (human), 709 nucleotides. RefSeq annotates it as ERCC8 antisense RNA 1. Lineage: Eukaryota; Metazoa; Chordata; Mammalia; Primates; Hominidae. The transcript has 3 exons. The record is from RefSeq and is marked validated.
AUGGAACUAGAACUCUGGCAUCUACAGUCUUGGCUCAAUGUAAUUGUAAAAAAAGAUGUGACCUUAGGAGAAGGGAAGAGUUGCAAGGGAAAGGGACUUGAGGUAGGGAAUACAACAGAUUCAAAACACGAUCAGUUUAGUUGCAGCAAAGCAUUUGUGUUGAAAACUGGUAGAACAUAGGAUUGAAGGAACAAGGGUUGAUGUCAUGGAGAACUUGGAAUGCCAGGCUGAGUUUAGACAAUGGGAAUCCCUAGAGGGUUUGGGUAGUGACAUGAUGAAACUGCUUUAUAAUAAGAUUAAUUCUGGGGUAGAACUUAGUGUAGAAAAUGUAGAAGGUAAGGCAGUGAUUUUAGUAGUCCAGAUGUGCAGUAAAGGCAAGAGUUUUAUCAAAUGAGCUUGAUGUGAACAUGCCAGUGUCAUGAGGAUACCACUGUACAGUCUCCACACUGUAUCUGUGAACAUCAGGAUGAUCUCUACAAAACAGCAAUCAAAAUUUACAUUAACUGACUUAUAAAACAAAAGUUAACAGAAGACUUCUGCAACCCUAUGCAGAUACAACCGUGAUGCUUUUGGAUUCCUUAAGAUGAAGGUUUGGGACCUUAAAACAUUUGUGGUGCUAUCUGAAGGAAUGAGAACACAAAGAAGGAAAGUCUUAAGUGCCAGCUCUGGCAUUAAAACAGCUGCAAAAAUACAAGAACUAUAGUGCCUA